Molecule: transfer RNA, 85 nt
Organism: Felis catus (domestic cat)
Lineage: Eukaryota; Metazoa; Chordata; Mammalia; Carnivora; Felidae
Rfam family: tRNA
About the family: Transfer RNA (tRNA) molecules are approximately 80 nucleotides in length. Their secondary structure includes four short double-helical elements and three loops (D, anti-codon, and T loops).
Source: Rfam
GCCUGAGUGGCUCAGUCGGUUAAGCGUCCGACUUCGGCUCAGGUCGUGAUCUCUCAGUCCGUGGGUUCAAGCCCUGCAUCAGGCU